GGGCUUUGAAAAACGCUUUCCUUGAUAAAAUUUAAGCGUUUUAUAAGAGGAUGCCCGGGAAGGUUUUCCGGUUUAUCCCGGAGGGCUUGUAGCUCAGUUGGUUAGAGCGCGCGCUUGAUAAGCGUGAGGUCGGAGGUUCAAGUCCUCCCAGGCCCACCAGUUUAUCCAUUACUUUCAUAAGUGCUUUUAAAAAAUAAGUACUUCUAAAAAGAUUGCUUCUAAAAAGCUUAUCAAAAUUGGCAGGCUUAUUGCUUUUGUGUGAGUAAUCCAAAGUUAAAGCAAAUUAAUGGCAAAAAAACAGUUCAAAUGCUAAAUACUAAGGAGUCAAAAUUCCUUGCAAAGUGAUUUUUACAGCGUCCAUUUGGUUGAUAUAAAUUCCAAAUGCUCAUAGACGUCAAUGCCUAUAUGAAACUAUCGGUUCAAUCAUAUCGCUUUGAGUUAUAUAGAUUUUGUAAUCCCUCUUUUGAUCGUUUUAAACGCUUUAUCCUGAUUUAGGGGCCGUAGCUCAGCUGGGAGAGCACCUGCUUUGCAAGCAGGG
This 538-nucleotide unclassified non-coding RNA is filed under the name uncultured Bartonella sp. Its description in RNAcentral is "partial 16S-23S ribosomal RNA intergenic spacer". The stretch from base 83 to 156 matches the Rfam family "tRNA". The record is from RNAcentral. Lineage: Bacteria; Pseudomonadati; Pseudomonadota; Alphaproteobacteria; Hyphomicrobiales; Bartonellaceae.